UACAGAGGGUGCGAGCGUUAAUCGGAAUUACUGGGCGUAAAGCGCACGUAGUCGGCUUUGCAAGUCGGGUGUGAAAUCCCCGGGCUCAACCUGGGAACUGCAUCCGAGACUGCAUUGCUAGAGUAUGGGAGAGGGAAGCGGAAUUUCUGGUGUAGCAGUGAAAUGCGUAGAUAUCAGAAGGAACACCAAUGGCGAAGGCAGCACUCUGGGACGGUACUGACGCUGAGACGCGAAAGCGUGGGGAGCAAACAGG
Molecule: ribosomal RNA, 253 nt
Filed under: uncultured bacterium
Lineage: Bacteria
Description: partial 16S ribosomal RNA
Rfam family: Bacterial small subunit ribosomal RNA
Source: RNAcentral